AAGUAGUAGACAAUCUUCCAGCUGA
This 25-nucleotide non-coding RNA is filed under the name Cricetulus griseus (Chinese hamster). The record is from RNAcentral. Lineage: Eukaryota; Metazoa; Chordata; Mammalia; Rodentia; Cricetidae.